Molecule: ribosomal RNA, 407 nt
Filed under: uncultured bacterium
Lineage: Bacteria
Description: partial 16S ribosomal RNA
Rfam family: Bacterial small subunit ribosomal RNA
Source: RNAcentral
AUUGAACGCUGGCGGCAGGCCUAACACAUGCAAGUCGAGCGGAGCGGCGGACGGGUGAGUAAUGCCUAGGAAUCUGCCUGGUAGUGGGGGAUACCGUCCGGAAACGGGCGCUAAUACCGCAUACUUUCAGAUGAGCUUAGGUCGGCUUAGCUGGAUGGUGGGGUAAUGGCUUAACAAGGUGACGAUCAAGAACUGGUCUGAGAGGAUGAUCAGUCACACUGGAACUGGUACACGGUCAAGACUCCUACGGGAGGCAGCAGUGGGGAAUAUUGGACAAUGGACGAAAGCCUGACCCAGCCAUGCCGCGUGUAUGAAGAAGGCUUUAGGGUUGUAAAGCACUUUCAGCGGGGAGGCGUUACCCGCAGAAGAAGCACCGGCUAACUCCGUGCCAGCAGCCGCGGUAAUUC